RNAcentral lists this ribosomal RNA (1176 nucleotides) under Triticum aestivum (bread wheat). RNAcentral's name for it is "partial small subunit ribosomal RNA". Lineage: Eukaryota; Viridiplantae; Streptophyta; Magnoliopsida; Poales; Poaceae. The record is from RNAcentral.
AUGGCCGUGCCGGAGCCGUCAAGAACCGGGUCGCCGCCUCGCGUCUUCCUCCUCGUCUUCGCCAUCAUUCUCACGGCCACAGCAGCAGAUGAGGCGGUGGCAGCCGGAGGCCUAUCGAUCGGGAUCAACUACGGGCAGAUCGCGGACAACCUCCCUUCGCCGUCCCGCGUGUCCAUGCUCCUCCGGUCGAUGCAGGUGAGCAAGGUGAAGCUCUACGACGCCGACCAGAACGUGCUGAGCGCGUUCCUGGACACGGGCGUGGAGUUCGUCAUCGGCAUCGGGAACGAGAACGUGUCGGCGAUGGUGGACCCGGCGGCCGCGCGGGCGUGGGUCCAGCAGCACGUCCGGCCGUACCUCCCGAGCACGCGCAUCACCUGCAUCACCGUCGGGAACGAGGUGUUCAAGGGCAACGACACCGACCUCAAGGACAGCCUCCUGCCGGCGAUGAAGUCCGUGUACCAGGCGCUCGGCGCGCUUGGGCUGCAGGGGCAGGUGAACGUCACCACGGCGCACUCCCUGGACAUCAUGGGCAGCUCCUACCCUCCGUCCGCCGGCGCGUUCCGGCCGGACGUCGUGCCGUACAUCCAGCCGCUCCUCGACUUCCUGUCGGCGGCGAGGUCCCCGUUCCUCAUCAACUGCUACCCGUACUUCGCCUACAAGGACGACCCCACCGGCGUGCCGCUGGAGUACGUGCUGUUCCAGCCCAACGCCGGGGUGACCGACCCGACCACGGGGCUCAACUACGACAACAUGCUGUACGCCCAGGUGGACUCGGUGUACGCCGCGAUCCAGGCGCUGGGCCACGCCGACGUGGACGUGAAGAUCUCCGAGACCGGGUGGCCGUCCAGGGGCGACCCCGACGAGGCAGGCGCCACGCCGCAGUACGCCGGGAUCUACAUCGGGAACCUGCUGCGGAGGAUAGAGUCGAAGCAAGGGACGCCGCUGAGGCCGGCGGUGCCCAUAGAUGUCUACGUCUUCGCGCUCUUCAACGAGAACCUCAAGCCGGGGCCGGCCUCCGAGCGGAACUACGGCCUCUUCUACCCCGACGGCACGCCGGUCUACAAUGUCGGCCUGCGCGGCUACCUCCCGCCGAUGGAUGAAUCGGAUGCCACGCGGACGGCCAUUCACUUCUUGGCGCUCAUCGCCUUGGCAUUUGUCACUCUCGUCUUAUCCUGA